UUCUAAACCCAAAUUGAUGUGAGAGAAGCUCCCUCCUUCUCACUUCCAGCUGCUGCCGCCGCCACCCUGCCAUCGCCGCCUCCGGCGGCAUCUCUCUCCCUCCGACUCUUCCUCUCUCUUCUCCCCUCUCUCUCUUUCUCUCCCCACUCCCUCUUCCUUUCUUGGCCCUACUCACGCCGCCGCUGCCCCUCUCUCUCCCGAUCUGCCCGCUGCUGUGCAUGCACAGGCAGCGGCUUCGCCGCUUCUUCUCCGCGCCUCACGCUGCCGGAGCAGCUUCCCGGCGCCACUCCAGCCCCGGCCACUGCCUCCUCACCGACUCCCGAGAGAGAUUGUGAACUCGUCCUCGGCAGUGAGUGGUGCGGGCUGCCGGAGUGCCGCCGCCGGAAAUCCGACAGAUUUGAGAUAAGCUUCCUCAUUCUUUCUAGUUAUUAAGGCAGUAGGUUCCUACUUUGGUUCUAUUUACUGAAUUUGGUGAUUUGUGAUUAUAUGCCUUGCUAUUUGGAAGACUCUAUGGUGAAAUACGUUGUUAAGUUUGGUGUGGCAGAUUCUAUUUCCUAAAUAAAUGCAUAUGCUUACAUAUACGAAAGAAAAGAAAGGCUUGGUGUUUACCUUUUGAUGUGGGAACAAAGUGUUGUUGGAUUGUAGGCUUGAUCCUACGAUUGUCUGCAGCUCUCUGCAACUCUCCCUCCUCGUACUCCUUUAUUCUAUAUAUAUGUGUAUGAAGAGAAUUUGUAGAAUGUUUGAUAGUGAUGGGUUUCCUGGAGUGGAAAGGCUGGGGUUUAUAUAGUUGCCAUUUCUUCAAGUUGCUAUGCAAGUGGAGGGGGGUUUAACAAUGGGGAAGGUUUAACAUGGGGGAGGUUUAAUCUGGAGAGGUUUACUGCCAAAAGAUCUCCUCAAAAUCUCCUCAAUGAUCUAAUUUGGAUCCUAUUUCUUGAUCUUACGGCUAAAAAUAUGGCUUGAGAAUUGAGGGAGCAUUUGAAGCUUUGAUAUCUCUGCACUUGCAUUUAAUGUCCACUUGGUUGAAAUCUUACAAAGAUUUUGAUUGGAUUUGGGAAUGAAUUUCAUCAAAUCUACUAUUGGAUUUCAUUUGAUACUCCCUAAUCCAUUCAAAGAUUUACUCCACAAUUUAUUUUAUUACUCUCUCUGAUUCUCUUCUUUUGUAGUAAAUAACAUCUAUUUAUGGAGCAUGGGCUAUCCUCGUCGAUGUAUCGGCUUUCCUCGGAGCUUGAGCACGACCGUUGAGCGGCUGCCCGAACUUGCACGCCUAUCUCUUAUUGUAAAAGAUUAGGAUUUGGUUGUAUUGUAUAUUUUAAUCGGACUUCUCGUAUCAUGUAUUAUUUGGAUUUAUUAUUUUAAAUUAAUCGUGGUAAAACCAACAACUUCUAUUGCA
Long non-coding RNA from Salvia hispanica, 1390 nucleotides. RefSeq lists it as uncharacterized. The record is from RefSeq and is a predicted model, not a curated record. NCBI's taxonomy places the organism in Eukaryota, Viridiplantae, Streptophyta, Magnoliopsida, Lamiales, Lamiaceae.